GUCCCUUUGGAGAUAUCCGAUAAAAUUCGAACGAUACGAAGAAGAUUAGCAUGGCCCCGCGCAAGGAUGACACGCACAAAUCGAAAAAUGGUCCAAAUUUUU
Molecule: small nuclear RNA, 102 nt
Organism: Papaver somniferum (opium poppy)
Lineage: Eukaryota; Viridiplantae; Streptophyta; Magnoliopsida; Ranunculales; Papaveraceae
Source: RefSeq, a predicted model, not a curated record